CAGCCGCCGCGGUAAUUCGUAGGGCGCAAGCGUUGUCCGGAAUUAUUGGGCGUAGAGAGCUCGUAGGUGGUUUGCUACGUCUGCUGUGAAAACCUAGGGCUUAACCCUGGGCCUGCAGUGGAUACGGGCAGACUAGAGGUAGGUAGGGGAGAAUGGAAUUCCCGGUGUAGCGGUGAAAUGCGCAGAUAUCGGGAGGAACACCGGUGGCGAAGGCGGUUCUCUGGGCCUUACCUGACACUGAGGAGCGAAAGCGUGGGGAGCGAACAGGAUUAGAUACCCUGGUAGUCCACGCCGUAAACGUUGGGCGCUAGGUGUGGGGUCCUUCCACGGACUCCGUGCCGCAGCUAACGCAUUAAGCGCCCCGCCUGGGGAGUACGGCCGCAAGGCUAAAACUCAAAUGAAUUGACGG
RNAcentral lists this ribosomal RNA (409 nucleotides) under uncultured soil bacterium. RNAcentral's name for it is "bacterial SSU rRNA". It matches the Rfam family "Bacterial small subunit ribosomal RNA", at positions 509 to 916 of the family's 1533-position model. The record is from RNAcentral.